GACGAACCGUACGAACGUUAUUCGGAAUUACUGGGCUUAAAGGGUGCGUAGGCUGUGCAGAAAGUUGGGUGUGAAAUCCCCCGGCUCAACCGGGGAAUAGCGCUCAAAACUACUGUGCUAGAGGGAGACAGAGGUAAGCGGAACUCAGGGUGGAGCGGUGAAAUGCGUUGAUAUCCUGAGGAACACCGGUGGCGAAAGCGGCUUACUGGGUCUCUUCUGACGCUGAGGCACGAAAGCUAGGGUAGCAAACGGG
RNAcentral lists this ribosomal RNA (253 nucleotides) under uncultured bacterium. Its description in RNAcentral is "partial 16S ribosomal RNA". It matches the Rfam family "Bacterial small subunit ribosomal RNA", at positions 524 to 776 of the family's 1533-position model. The record is from RNAcentral.